This 548-nucleotide ribosomal RNA is filed under the name Streptococcus agalactiae. Its description in RNAcentral is "bacterial SSU rRNA". It matches the Rfam family "Bacterial small subunit ribosomal RNA", at positions 1 to 532 of the family's 1533-position model. The record is from RNAcentral. Lineage: Bacteria; Bacillati; Bacillota; Bacilli; Lactobacillales; Streptococcaceae.
UUAGUAGAGUUUGAUCUUGGCUCAGGACGAACGCUGGCGGCGUGCCUAAUACAUGCAAGUAGAACGCUGAUGUUUGGUGUUUACACUAGACUGAUGAGUUGCGAACGGGUGAGUAACGCGUAGGUAACCUGCCUCAUAGCGGGGGAUAACUAUUGGAAACGAUAGCUAAUACCGCAUAAGAGUAAUUAACACAUGUUAGUUAUUUAAAAGGAGCAAUUGCUUCACUGUGAGAUGGACCUGCGUUGUAUUAGCUAGUUGGUGAGGUAAAGGCUCACCAAGGCGACGAUACAUAGCCGACCUGAGAGGGUGAUCGGCCACACUGGGACUGAGACACGGCCCAGACUCCUACGGGAGGCAGCAGUAGGGAAUCUUCGGCAAUGGACGGAAGUCUGACCGAGCAACGCCGCGUGAGUGAAGAAGGUUUUCGGAUCGUAAAGCUCUGUUGUUAGAGAAGAACGUUGGUAGGAGUGGAAAAUCUACCAAGUGACGGUAACUAACCAGAAAGGGACGGCUAACUACGUGCCAGCAGACGCGGUAAUACAUCAAAA